This 3287-nucleotide long non-coding RNA is filed under the name Mus musculus (house mouse). RNAcentral describes it as "long non-coding RNA chr16:41498610-41501897". Lineage: Eukaryota; Metazoa; Chordata; Mammalia; Rodentia; Muridae. The record is from RNAcentral.
AGCUUUAAGUAGGUUUUGAUUCUUGUCAGGUGCUCUGCCUCAUAUUCACACCUAGUGGUGUGGAUGGAGGCUGGAGCCAUGGAAAAAGAAGUCAAAAGGCACCCAUCAUUCUCUACUUUGUUUAUAAUCGACCUGUGCUUUACAUGUGAGUUCUCAUCACACAACAUGUGUGGGUAAAUGCUGCAUGCAAUAACAUAAAGCUUGUGUUUCAGGCAAUGCUUCACACAAACUCAUAAGAAGGAAAGGGGAAGGAGAAGCAGAAAUGGACACACUUCUAGAAAGAGGUGAAUUACAGUUAUGAACUUAGCUGUGACUUCAGGGCAUAUGUAGAAUAUAUUAUUUAAUUCUCACAAAAAUCUAAUGUGAUAAUUAUGUCUGCUUCCAUUUUGGUAGAUGAAGUUUCACUUAAGUAAGCAUAUAGUUUUUAUUCUUAGUCUCCUUAAAUAUCAAUGUGAUUUGUUCAUACCUGAGAAAAAAAUCUUUUUAGAUACAUUUUUGUAUCCUUCCCUGAUAAUGAGUGUCGGUGGUCUCCACUCCUAAUAAUAGCUUAGUAUUUUAAAAAUCUAUGAUGAAUUUGACAUCUGAAGCCAGAGUUCCUCUCGCUUAACCCUCUCAAUGUUUAAACCUUUCAUUACCAUGUAUAACUGUUCAGUUUCCCUAUCAUAAUGAGGAAAAGAUAGCCAUCCUGGCUUGGUUCCUUCCAUAGCAACUGGCCCAUACCUUCUCCUCUGGUAACCACAUACACAUCAAUUGUCUUAUAGCUACUACAUUUAGUGUUCUUUGCAAGUGGGCAUCCCAUAAUAGUGUCUUGGGCUUGCUAUUUUAAAUAUCAUCACAUAUGGUUUUAAGCAAAAGAAACGUGCUACCACACAGCUCUGCAGUUGGAUGUCUGAUAUUAAGAUUUUGACAGGAUUGAUACCUCAGGAAGAUGUGAGGAAAGGAUAUGUCAGGCCUUGACUCUAGCUCUGAUGAAUGCUGACAAUCUGGCAUUCAUUGACUUGAAGAGUCACGUUGAUUACCUUCUUCAUCUUGACAUGGAGAUAACCUGUUACACCCCUUUCAUUCCAAUGAGGACAUUCAUCUAAUCCUUACAACCUCACCUUAAUUAUCUUAGUUUUAAAAACAAUAAUAAGGUAUGAUUGUUCUGCCUGUGGGCAUCUCUGUUUACCACAUGCAUGCCUGGUGCUCUGAGAUGCCAAAAGAUGGCAUCUGCUGGCAGAUCCCUUGGGAAUGGAGUUACAAAUGACUGUGGGUUGUCAUGUGCCUGCUGGUAUCCAAACCCUGGUCCUCUAGAAGAGCAGCCAAUGCUCUUAGCACUAGAGUCUAUCUCUAGUCCACAAUUUCAUCUUAAUUUAACUAAUUAGGACAUCAAAGAACAUAAUACAAACAAGGAUACAGCUGAGCUGCUAGAGGCUAGAGCUUCAUGACAGCAAUUCUGGAGGAAUACAUUUUAACUCAGAACACUUUCCGCUUAUUACUUUUAAUUUCCUUAGCAACCACUGAAUCCUCCAUUCCUUGCCCAUGUUUGUGCAACAUCCUGUCAUCACUGAAGCAUGACAUGAAUUUAGAAGAUGAAAAUAGUUAGACCUGGUUCUACAUCCACUCUAAGUGUAAUAGCUACAUAUGAGUCAGUGCCUCACAGUUUAAUCAGGGCAGAAGGUGAAACCUUAGUUAUAGCUAUUGGUGAAGAUGCACUUUUUAAAAAUUCAACUUCUUUUUAUCUUUUAUUUUACUCAUAAACUGGACAUCUUGGAUAUUGUGGGCAUAUCUUCCAAGGGCACUGGGUAAUCAUAUAGAAGCAGUACGACUGAAUACAUCUGAAAACAAGGAAAAUGUCUUCAAACCCUUUUCAUAUAACAGAAGUGUUGUGGGUUCAUAUCAGAUACAUUAAAUUCUCCCUUGUGACAUCUGGGACAAAGGUACAGAAGUGCAGCUCAUCAGUACCUCUUUGAGUGACUAUGUAAUUCUAUAAGCAUAUUACUUCACUCAUCUAGCUCAUCAUAGGGCACUGGCAAUAGGAUACUGACUACACAUCUGACCCAAUAAAGUAGUGAGAUGUCUCCAGCUUUUGGUAGUUGCUACCAUAACUAUAUUGAAGAAUCACUUUGUCCUUUUACAGCCCACCAAAUUUCAGAGGUUAAGACGAGAGAGAGAAGGGUCCUGAAAGCAGUUUAAAAGGCUGGUUUAUGAUUUCUAAGAAAAUUGUACCAAUUUGCUGUUGUCUCCAUCCAAAUUGAAAUUCACUCAAUAUUUGUCAUUAAUUAAAGAAAAGAAAGAAAAGUGCUUUUAAAUGCAAAGUGAAUCUUUUUAAGUGAAAUGAAAUAAAAGCAUCAUCUUUAAAGUGAACAUUUUACAGAGAGAAAGUGAAAGUUAAAAGUGCGUAGGUAGAGGUGGUAGAAGUUGGCACCUAGAGAAUGAAAACUGGGGUGGAUCUGAGCAACCUUUUCAAUUCUAACUUUUCAAUUUUAUAUCCAAACUCUAUCAUGUGCUAUAUUGCUAUGGAAAGUUCUUCAACUUUCAAGAGAGCAAACUUAUGUCUACCUCUUUUUCGUGGGCAAGGUAUUACUAAAAUAAUCACUGACAAACAAAGAACUAACAUGUAGGCCUGGAUUUUGAGGCAACAUGUGCACAGGAUUUAAAAAAAAAAGCACUGCAAUUUAUCCCACGAAUAUUAAUUGUUUUAUUCACAGUUGCCUUAUUCUUCAUUACAUUGAUUGAAGUUAGUCUGCAAUGCACUCUGGGAGAUUUUGACAUUUGCUGUCAGAGAUUUAACUUGUCACUAUGACAGGGACAAGAAAAGUUGGCAACACAGACAGAUAUAAGUAGUGACUUUUAAGCCUUUGUGUCAAAGGAAACCAGGCUGAUGAUACUGAAAAUAAUGGGUAUAUGAAGAAGGCUAGGGAGAAGGGGCAUGCAGCAUAAGUAGUAAAAACACCACUGGAAAAUUACAAAGGGCCAAGGCAGUCCCUACAGGACACAGAAGUCGUGGAAGAACAGAAAGUGAGAUGUCCAAACAGUCUAGAAAAUAAAAACUAUUGGAAGUAUAAUAACUAUAAAACUUUUAGGCAUUCCAUUCUAAGACGGCCAUCAUGUAUAAUUACCUAAAAGGAUAAAGGGACCCUCUUUUUGUUUAUCAAAAGAUGCAUUGGGCUUGCUUUCUCCCAAAUAGCAGAGCAUUAUUUAAAUUUACACAUGUUGGAUGUCAGUAGAUGGACUCUUCAUCUGGCAUAUAAGGCUUUUCAAUAUCAAAGGAGGAAAAAUAAGGAGAAAUUCAGAAAUGAAAACUC